AGCACCAUUUAUAAAAGAAAAAAAUCAGUAAAUUGGAUUUCAUCAAAUUUAAAAACUUUUGCUCUGUAAAAGACCUUGUUCAGAAGAUGAAAAGAUAAGCUACAGACUGGCAGGAAAUGUUUGUGAUCUAUCCAUCUGAAAAGGGAUUGAUAUCCAGAAUAUACAAGAAACUCGAACAUCUCAACAACAACAACAAAAAUCUGAUUUAAACAUGUCAUACAAAUGAACCGAAUGACAUUUCUCAAAAGACAUACAGAUGGCCAACAAAUAUAUGGAAAAAAUGCUCAACAUCACUAAUCAUCAGGGAAAUAUAAUCAAAACCACAAUGAAGUAUUACCUCACCCCAGUUAGGAUGGCUAUUGUCAAAAAGAAAAAAAUAACAUACUGGUAAGGAUAUGGAGAAAACAAUGUACUGUUGGAAGGAAUGAAAACUGUUACAGCCACUGUGGAUAAUGGUAUGGAGGUUCCUCAAAAAACUACAGAUAGAAUACCAGAUGAUCCAGCAAUUUUACAACUGAGAAAUUUAUCCAAAGGAAAGCAAAUCCGUCUGUGGAAGAGAUAUCUGCGCCCUGUGUUUAUUGCAGCACCAUUCACAGUAGCCAAGAUAUGCAGUCAACUCAAGUGUCCAACAACAGAUUAAUGCACAAAGAAAACAUGGUACAUAUAUACAAUGGAAUACUAUUCAGCCGUGAAAAGAAUAAAAAGCAACAUGGAUGGAACCAGGGGACAUGAUGUUCGUGAAAUAAGCAAGGAACGGAAAGUUAAACGCGGCAUGUUCUCAUUCACAUGUGAAAGCUAAAAAAAAGCUGAUCUCAUACAAGUAAAAAGUAGAACAGAGGAUACUGAGGCUGGGAAGGGAGGUGGGAAGGAGAUAGGGAGAGUUUUGUUGAAGGUUGCAAAAUUACAGCUAGAUAGAAUAAGUUUUAGCAUUCUAUACUACUGUAGGAUGACUACAGCUAACAGUUAUAUAUUGCAAAUAGCUAGAAGGAGGAUAUUGGAUGUUCCCAACACAAAUCAAUGAUAUGAUGGAUGUGCUAAUUACCCUGAUCUGAUCACUAUACAUUAUACGUGUUGAAAUAUCACUAUGUACCAUAUGAAUA
This 1100-nucleotide long non-coding RNA is filed under the name Homo sapiens (human). RNAcentral describes it as "non-protein coding lnc-WDR97-2:1". The record is from RNAcentral. Lineage: Eukaryota; Metazoa; Chordata; Mammalia; Primates; Hominidae.